GGGAGUGUAGCUCAAUGGUUAGAGCACGGAGCUUAUACCUCCGGGGUUCAUGGUUCGAGUCCAUGCACUCCCACCA
Molecule: transfer RNA, 76 nt
Filed under: Candidatus Sungbacteria bacterium RIFCSPHIGHO2_01_FULL_51_22
Lineage: Bacteria; Candidatus Sungiibacteriota
Also listed under: 3 other names
Description: tRNA-Ile
Rfam family: tRNA
About the family: Transfer RNA (tRNA) molecules are approximately 80 nucleotides in length. Their secondary structure includes four short double-helical elements and three loops (D, anti-codon, and T loops).
Source: RNAcentral